GGAAGCGUGGUAGAGCGGUAAUACAACGGAUUGCUAAUCCGUCAGUUCCGUAAGGGCUGGGCAGGUUCGACUCCUGUCGCUUCCG
Non-coding RNA from Treponema socranskii subsp. socranskii, 85 nucleotides. The record is from Rfam. Lineage: Bacteria; Pseudomonadati; Spirochaetota; Spirochaetia; Treponematales; Treponemataceae.